RNAcentral lists this ribosomal RNA (715 nucleotides) under Bacillus sp. KF-60. Its description in RNAcentral is "bacterial SSU rRNA". It matches the Rfam family "Bacterial small subunit ribosomal RNA", at positions 66 to 762 of the family's 1533-position model. Lineage: Bacteria; Bacillati; Bacillota; Bacilli; Caryophanales; Bacillaceae. The record is from RNAcentral.
GCGAUGGAUUAAGAGCUUGCUCUUAUGAAGUUAGCGGCGGACGGGUGAGUAACACGUGGGUAACCUACCCAUAAGACUGGGAUAACUCCGGGAAACCGGGGCUAAUACCGGAUAAUAUUUUGAACUGCAUAGUUCGAAAUUGAAAGGCGGCUUCGGCUGUCACUUAUGGAUGGACCCGCGUCGCAUUAGCUAGUUGGUGAGGUAACGGCUCACCAAGGCGACGAUGCGUAGCCGACCUGAGAGGGUGAUCGGCCACACUGGGACUGAGACACGGCCCAGACUCCUACGGGAGGCAGCAGUAGGGAAUCUUCCGCAAUGGACGAAAGUCUGACGGAGCAACGCCGCGUGAGUGAUGAAGGCUUUCGGGUCGUAAAACUCUGUUGUUAGGGAAGAACAAGUGCUAGUUGAAUAAGCUGGCACCUUGACGGUACCUAACCAGAAAGCCACGGCUAACUACGUGCCAGCAGCCGCGGUAAUACGUAGGUGGCAAGCGUUAUCCGGAAUUAUUGGGCGUAAAGCGCGCGCAGGUGGUUUCUUAAGUCUGAUGUGAAAGCCCACGGCUCAACCGUGGAGGGUCAUUGGAAACUGGGAGACUUGAGUGCAGAAGAGGAAAGUGGAAUUCCAUGUGUAGCGGUGAAAUGCGUAGAGAUAUGGAGGAACACCAGUGGCGAAGGCGACUUUCUGGUCUGUAACUGACACUGAGGCGCGAAAGCGU